GAUGAACGCUGGCGGCGUGCUUAACACAUGCAAGUCGAACGAAGCGCUUAAGAUUGAUUCUUCGGAUGAUUUCUUUUGUGACUUAGUGGCGGACGGGUGAGUAACGCGUGGGUAACCUGCCUCACACAGGGGGAUAACAGUUAGAAAUGACUGCUAAUACCGCAUAACCCGAUAGGAUCGCAUGAUCCAGACGGAAAAGAUUUAUCGGUGUGAGAUGGACCCGCGUCUGAUUAGCUAGUUGGUGAGGUAACGGCCCACCAAGGCGACGAUCAGUAGCCGGCCUGAGAGGGUGAACGGCCACAUUGGGACUGAGACACGGCCCAAACUCCUACGGGAGGUAGCAGUGGGGAAUAUUGCACAAUGGAGGAAACUCUGAUGCAGCGACGCCGCGUGAGUGAAGAAGUAGUUCGCUAUGUAAAGCUCUAUCAGCAGGGAAGAUAGUGACGGUACCUGACUAAGAAGCUCCGGCUAAAUACGUGCCAGCCGCCGCAGUAA
This 495-nucleotide ribosomal RNA is filed under the name uncultured bacterium. RNAcentral's name for it is "partial 16S ribosomal RNA". It matches the Rfam family "Bacterial small subunit ribosomal RNA", at positions 28 to 523 of the family's 1533-position model. The record is from RNAcentral.